This 496-nucleotide ribosomal RNA is filed under the name uncultured bacterium. RNAcentral describes it as "partial 16S ribosomal RNA". It matches the Rfam family "Bacterial small subunit ribosomal RNA", at positions 29 to 507 of the family's 1533-position model. The record is from RNAcentral.
AUGAACGCUGGCGGCGUGCCUAAUACAUGCAAGUCGAGCGAACGGACGAGAAGCUUGCUUCUCUGAUGUUAGCGGCGGACGGGUGAGUAACACGUGGAUAACCUACCUAUAAGACUGGGAUAACUUCGGGAAACCGGAGCUAAUACCGGAUAAUAUUUUGAACCGCAUGGUUCAAAAGUGAAAGACGGUCUUGCUGUCACUUAUAGAUGGAUCCGCGCUGCAUUAGCUAGUUGGUAAGGUAACGGCUUACCAAGGCAACGAUGCAUAGCCGACCUGAGAGGGUGAUCGGCCACACUGGAACUGAGACACGGUCCAGACUCCUACGGGAGGCAGCAGUAGGGAAUCGUCCGCAAUGGGCGAAAGCCUGACGGAGCAACGCCGCGUGAGUGAUGAAGGUCUUCGGAUCGUAAAACUCUGUUAUUAGGGAAGAACAUAUGUGUAAGUAACUGUGCACAUCUUGACGGUACCUAAUCAGAAAGCCACGGCUAACUACGUG